Molecule: ribosomal RNA, 250 nt
Filed under: uncultured bacterium
Lineage: Bacteria
Description: partial 16S ribosomal RNA
Rfam family: Bacterial small subunit ribosomal RNA
Source: RNAcentral
GACGAACUGUCCUAACGUUGUUCGGAAUCACUGGGCUUAAAGGGCGCGUAGGCGGUCCGACAAGUCAGGGGUGAAAUCCUGCAGCUUAACUGUAGAAGUGCCUCUGAUACUGUCGGUCUUGAGGGAGAUAGGGGUGUGCGGAACUUCCAGUGGAGCGGUGAAAUGCGUUGAUAUUGGAAGGAACGCCGGAGGCGAAAGCGGCGCACUGGAUCUCUUCUGACGCUGAGGCGCGAAAGCUAGGGGAGCAAAC